Molecule: transfer-messenger RNA, 376 nt
Filed under: Brevibacteriaceae
Lineage: Bacteria; Bacillati; Actinomycetota; Actinomycetes; Micrococcales
Also listed under: 1 other name
Description: Brevibacterium sp005280295 Standard tmRNA
Rfam family: transfer-messenger RNA
About the family: Bacterial tmRNA, also known as 10Sa RNA or SsrA, is named for its dual tRNA and mRNA-like properties.
Source: RNAcentral
GGGGAUGAUCGGUUUCGACGUUGGACAUGGCGUCGGGAGAAGCGGGCCGAGAAUGCAGAGUCAACUCGUUAAUGUCCUCUGCAAAACAAUAGGUGCUAAGUCUAACAACCGCACCGAUUUCGCCCUCGCCGCCUGAUAACGCGAGCUGCGAAUCCGUCAGCCUAGAGUUGCUUCCGCUCUAGUUCCUGGCGUCAGCUAGGGAGCCACUGCUGUCGGCACAUGUUGGGGGUGUCGAUGGGACUCUUACUCAACUCCGUUCGUUGGUCUACGUGUUCGUGCGAUGACCAGGACCUAAGAAGCUGUUUCACGAACUGCGCCCGGAGAAGACCCGGUAAUAUGCCGACGGACGCGGGUUCGAUUCCCGCCAUCUCCACUU